UAAUACAUGCAAGUCGAACGAAUCUCUUUUAGAGAUGAGUGGCGAACGGGUGAGUAAUACAUAGGUAACCUGCCCCUGUGCGGGGGAUAACAGGAGGAAACUCCUGCUAAUACCGCAUAGCCAUGAGCACCGCAUGGAGCUCAUGCCAAAUAUCCUUUAUGGGAUAGCGCAGGGAUGGACCUAUGGCGCAUUAGCUGGUUGGCGGGGCAACGGCCCACCAAGGCAACGAUGCGUAGCCGGCUGAGAGGGCGGACGGCCACAUUGGGACUGUGACACGGCCCAGACUCAUACGGGAGGCAGCAGUAGGGAAUUUUCGGCAAUGGGGGAAACCCUGACCGAGCAACGCCGCGUGAGCGAAGAAGGCCUUCGGGUCGUAAAGCUCUGUUGUAAAGGAAGAACGGCGCAUACAGGAAAUGGUAUGCGAGUGACGGUACUUUACCAGAAAGCCACGGCUAACUACGUGCCAGCAGCCGCGGUAAUACGUAGGUGGCGAGCGUUAUCCGGAAUCAUUGGGCGUAAAGAGGGAGCAGGCGGCCGCAAGGGUCUGUGGUGAAAGCCCGAAGCUAAACUUCGGUAAGCCAUGGAAACCGGGCGGCUAGAGUGCGGAAGAGGAUCGUGGAAUUCCAUGUGUAGCGGUGAAAUGCGUAGAUAUAUGGAGGAACACCAGUGGCGAAGGCGACGGUCUGGGCCGCAACUGACGCUCAUUCCCGAAAGCGUGGGGAGCAAAUAGGAUUAGAUACCCUAGUAGUCCACGCCGUAAACGAUGGUCACUAAGUGUCGGGGGUCAAACCCCGGUGCUGCAGUCAACGCAAUAAGUGACCCGCCUGAGUAGUACGUUCGCAAGAAUGA
RNAcentral lists this ribosomal RNA (849 nucleotides) under uncultured bacterium. RNAcentral describes it as "bacterial SSU rRNA". It matches the Rfam family "Bacterial small subunit ribosomal RNA", at positions 49 to 897 of the family's 1533-position model. The record is from RNAcentral.